Molecule: long non-coding RNA, 1119 nt
Filed under: Hordeum vulgare
Lineage: Eukaryota; Viridiplantae; Streptophyta; Magnoliopsida; Poales; Poaceae
Description: long non-coding RNA (HVUL_LNC020395)
Source: RNAcentral
GACCUAUGUACCAACAAGAUGUCCCAAAGGCUGAAGGAUACAUAGAACCAAAAAAGAAAAUUAAAAAAACAUAAGGAAAAAAAAAGUCCCAGCGAUCAAUCACUAGCACGAGAAGUACUCUAAACACCAUCGAAGACAACACGUGGAUUACAAAAGAAGUUCUUCAAAAGCAGCGCCUUCAAGAAAGAAACAAUCGACAAGCGCUCUCGUUGCCCAACCUAAGAUGCUGUGUUUUCAUCCUGGAGAAAGUCUGAGUUCACCCAAAAACAUUGCCUUCAACAAGGUCAUUGCCAGGUAGAAGAAAUAAAGGCCAGAACUUGGAUUUUCACCCUAAGAAUCAAGACUCGGUGCUCGAGGAGCACCACCAAAAAUGCAGUCCUGCAGUGUCGUAGCUCCCUCUUGCGGAGGCCGCUGUUUGCAAGUCACCAAACACCUCACACACAAUACUUAUCUCAUCCAAUAUACCCUUCCACCAAAGCUUCAAUACAUCCAAUCACAGCCGCCAUGAUUUUCCCCACCUCUAUCAAUGCCUUAGGAAUUUUGACUUAAAUAUGUUGGAUGACACCGAUAAGAAAGCAAAGCUUCGCGUUGCGCUCUCUUGGGGCGAUAAUAUGAGCGCAUGCAACCAGAGCCUUUCUGAUCUAGUUAUCCAGGGGCGGCAUAUACCAAUACGUAUAGAUCAAUUAAUUCCAGUAAAUAAUUUAUGACUAGAACAAAAAGUAGGAUGCAACAAUCUAGCACACUAGAUGAACAGCAAAACAUGCACAACAACAACGCACUUGUAAUAGCAAGGAGAGAUAGGCACAUGGGCAGAUAACGAUGGACGUACUAUUCGUUAACUGUAGCAGGAGCGACGUUGUUGAUGACGAUCUUGGUGACGAUUUGUUGCUCACGGCAUUGUAGACGACGAUGAGUGGCGCCGCUCGACUUGGAUGGAAGACGAUCCAUGAUGACAAACUUGUGCAGUCACGCAGAACGCUUUCCAAUAACCUAAUUUGUACUCUCCUGGUGUAGGAUUGCAAGGACGAACGGUUUCGGAGACCUACACUUCUGCACGUCGGCCUUCGGGGUGAAGUAGACUAUGGUUGUGGAGCAAGUCGCAAGAUGAGGGAAAACACU